UGGAUGGAUGGUACAGCCCAAC
Molecule: non-coding RNA, 22 nt
Filed under: Rattus norvegicus (Norway rat)
Lineage: Eukaryota; Metazoa; Chordata; Mammalia; Rodentia; Muridae
Source: RNAcentral